This 368-nucleotide ribosomal RNA is filed under the name uncultured microorganism. Its description in RNAcentral is "bacterial SSU rRNA". It matches the Rfam family "Archaeal small subunit ribosomal RNA", at positions 330 to 670 of the family's 1478-position model. The record is from RNAcentral.
GCGCAGCAGUCGAGAAACCUUUACAAUGUCUUCACGGACGAUAGGGGAAUCCUGAGUGCUCUAGCAUUGCUAGAGCUUUUGCUUACUGAAAAAAGGUAGGCGAAUAAGUGGUGGGUAAGACGGGUGCCAGCCGCCGCGGUAAUACCCGCGCCACAAGUGGUGACCACGUUUAUUGGGUCUAAAGCGUUCGUAGCCGGCCUGAUAAAUUCUCGGUGAAAUCCUGUGUAAAUCAUAGGGCGUGCCGGGAAGACUGUCAAGCUAGGAACCGGGAGAGGCUGAGGGUACUCCAGGAGUAGGGGUUAAAUGCCGUUAUGGUUUAACCCUAGGUUUAACAAUCCUGUAAUUCUUGGAGGACCACCGGUGGCGAA